GUGAACGCUGGCGGUAGGCCUAACACAUGCAAGUCGAACGGCAGCACAGAGGAGCUUGCUCCUUGGGUGGCGAGUGGCGGACGGGUGAGGAAUACAUCGGAAUCUACUCUUUCGUGGGGGAUAGCGUAGGGAAACUUACGCUAAUACCGCAUACGACCUUCGGGUGAAAGCAGGGGAUCGCAAGACCUUGCGCGAUUGAAUGAGCCGAUGUCGGAUUAGCUAGUUGGCGGGUAAAGGCCCACCAAGGCAACGAUCCGUAGCUGGUCUGAGAGGAUGAUCAGCCACACUGGAACUGAGACACGGUCCAGACUCCUACGGGAGGCAGCAGUGGGGAAUAUUGGACAAUGGGCGCAAGCCUGAUCCAGCCAUACCGCGUGGGUGAAGAAGGCCUUCGGGUUGUAAAGCCCUUUUGUUGGGAAAGAAAAGCACGCGGUUAAUACCCGAGUGUUCUGACGGUACCCAAAGAAUAAGCACCGGCUAACUUCGUGCCAGCAGCCGCCGUAA
Molecule: ribosomal RNA, 504 nt
Filed under: uncultured bacterium
Lineage: Bacteria
Description: partial 16S ribosomal RNA
Rfam family: Bacterial small subunit ribosomal RNA
Source: RNAcentral